AUACGUAGGGUGCAAGCGUUGUCCGGAUUUAUUGGGCGUAAAGGGCUCGUAGGCGGUCUGUCACGUCGGAUGUGCAAACUCGGAGCUCAACUCCGGGCCUGCAUCCGAUACGGGCAGACUAGAGUUCGGUAGGGGAGAUUGGAAUUCCUGGUGUAGCGGUUGAAUGCGCAGAUAUCAGGAGGAACACCGAUGGCGAAGGCAGAUCUCUGGGCCGAUACUGACGCUGAGGAGCGAAAGCGUGGGGAGCAAACAGGAUUAGAAACCCCAGUAGUCC
RNAcentral lists this ribosomal RNA (274 nucleotides) under uncultured bacterium. RNAcentral describes it as "partial 16S ribosomal RNA". It matches the Rfam family "Bacterial small subunit ribosomal RNA", at positions 523 to 796 of the family's 1533-position model. The record is from RNAcentral.